Corticium candelabrum is the source of this 1183-nucleotide RNA transcript. RefSeq lists it as uncharacterized. The transcript has 4 exons. The record is from RefSeq and is a predicted model, not a curated record. NCBI's taxonomy places the organism in Eukaryota, Metazoa, Porifera, Homoscleromorpha, Homosclerophorida, Plakinidae.
GUGACCAAUAUUUCAAACAUUUCUUUUCCAGAAUUUCCAAUUUGGGCAUCUGCAAUUAUUGCCAUUAUUGGUAUUGCUGCGCUGAUACUUGUUGUCUUUCUCAUCAUAUGUUACGUUAGAAAGAAACGAACAUCAAGAGCGGCAAGUCAAGAAUCAAAGGACGACGACUUGAUGGAAUCGAAACCAACUGUGUAUGCAAUGCCAAUGAAGAAGCGAGCGGUGAUAUCACCUUUUAUUAGAGAGUCUGCAAUUGUAACAGUAGAAGAGCAGCCAUCAAUGGUCCUAGUAAACUUGCAUGCAUUGGUCUCUUCAGCAACUAACCCAACCGAAUGUCCUCUUUACUCAAAUUUGUCUCAAGCUGAGACCAAUAUGGCCUCUCAGUUAAUUCAAACAAGCAAAUUAUUCUAAUGCACACAAACUAGUCACAAUAAAAUCGUUCUUAAAACCAAUUUCGGAUACAAACAUUUGAAUCCCUUGGCAAUAAACAGUAGACAAAAAAUAGGCAAGUGAUGUCUACCAGACUUCUGCAGUUUAGCUAGUAAGAGUGCGUUACCGUACGUAUUGAAAUCAAUAGUUGGGUAAACAAAGAUAAAAUAAUUUACGUCAAUUAAAAUAUUCCUAUAUAUGACGUCACAAACGUCAAGGUCAACAGCACUGUACGCAAAUUAGCGUUUACAAUUACCUUCUCAUCAUGUAACUGUUUGUUACAAUUCAAGCAAAUUGUCGAUCCUAUUUCAUUUUAGGGCGUCAAGCCAGACGGUUCUGAGUUACUUUCCGAGAAAGAUGAACAAACAAUGUAUGCCACACCAGUAAAGACUACAACGGCAAAUUCACAGUCCGAAAUUGAGUACGACAAUACGUUAACAGUUACGCAGAAAUCAAGCCAAGAAGGCUAUGACGUGGCAGCUCCUCACAUUACUCAUUCAACUGCCCGUACUCCAAAAUCGAGGCACAACGACAGCGCCGAAGUGUCGUCGAGUUUGCAGUAUGCUGAGUUGCAGUUCGGAAACAACCCGGUGGGCCCGGCAGUUCCAUCUUCUGCUGCUGUCACUUAUACUAGCAUAAAAACAUAACUAUGAAGUUUACUCUUGGCUAAGACGUUUAGCUAACAAGACUUUUGAGUCGGUUCUUUAACGAUUAUGCAAAAUUUGCGUAAUUUUGAAAUACAAAUAAAAUUUAAUGC